UUAAUUAAAUUUUUCCAGUAUUUAAAUACACGAAGUUGAAGGAGCUAAUUAUUAUAUAUUUAUAGAUAAUAAAGUGUUGCAUAACUUAAUAAAUAAUAAUUAGGGGUGAUAGGCUUAUCAACUUCAACGAUAACUUGAUAAUCAUUAAAUGUAAAAGUACAAAAACACUUUUAAAAUGAUAAGGUUUUAAAAAGGAAAAUAAUAUACUUGAAAUAAAAUAUGUUCUGUUUAAUCACUAACAUAUUUAUAAAUAUAUAAUACAUUAAGUGUGUUUAUUUUUAUCUUUGAUUAAUGAAUAAAUAAUAUAUACAUAAAUAAUGUUAAUAUUAGUAAUAUAAAGUACAUAACAUGAACUCGGCAAUAAGUCUUUUAACUGUUUAUCAAAAACAUAGCUAUAUGAAUAUAUAUAUGGUAAUUUCUGCUCAAUGAAAUUUAAAUAGCCGCAGUACUCUGACUGUGCUAAGGUAGCGCAAUCAAUUGGCUUUUAAUUGGAGUCCUGUAUGAAAGAAAAUAUAAGGGGCUACUUUAUUUUUUGUAGUUAAUGAACUUACUUAAAAAGUGCGAAUUCUUUUAUAUAAAUAAUAGACGAGAAGACCCUAGAAAUUUCUAGAAAGACUUUUGUUGGGGCAACAAAGUAGCAUUAUAAUCUACUGUUAAUACACGUAAAAAAUAUUUUGUAAGAUUAAAUUACUCUAGGGAUAACAGCAUAAUUUAUAAAAGUUUGUGACCUCGAUGUUGGAUUAGGGCAUUUAACAUUUUAAAAAA
This 765-nucleotide ribosomal RNA is filed under the name Austrochloritis kanangra. Its description in RNAcentral is "partial large subunit ribosomal RNA". The stretch from base 367 to 520 matches the Rfam family "Archaeal large subunit ribosomal RNA", at positions 1885 to 2088 of the family's 2987-position model. Lineage: Eukaryota; Metazoa; Mollusca; Gastropoda; Stylommatophora; Camaenidae. The record is from RNAcentral.